This 501-nucleotide ribosomal RNA is filed under the name uncultured bacterium. RNAcentral describes it as "partial 16S ribosomal RNA". It matches the Rfam family "Bacterial small subunit ribosomal RNA", at positions 30 to 523 of the family's 1533-position model. The record is from RNAcentral.
AUUGAACGCUGGCGGCAUGCCUUACACAUGCAAGUCGAACGGCAGCACGGGUGCUUGCACCUGGUGGCGAGUGGCGAACGGGUGAGUAAUAUAUCGGAACGUACCUUAUUGUGGGGGAUAACGCAGCGAAAGCUGUGCUAAUACCGCAUAAUCCCUUAGGGGGAAAGCGGGGGACCGUAAGGCCUCGCGCAAUUAGAGCGGCCGAUACCUGAUUAGCUAGUUGGUGAGGUAAAGGCUCACCCAGGCGACGGUCAGUAGCUGGUCUGAGAGGACGAUCAGCCACGCUGGGGCUGGGACACGGCCCAGACUCCUACGGGAGGCAGCAGUGAGGAAUUUUGGACGAUGGGGGCAACCCUGAUCCAGCAAUGCCGCGUGAGUGAAGAAGGCCUUCGGGUUGUAAAGCUCUUUUGUCAGGGAAGAAACAGCAGCUCUAACACAGUAUGCGAAUGACGGUACCUGAAGAAUAAGCACCGGCUAACUACGUGCCAGCCGCCGCCGUAA